Molecule: ribosomal RNA, 357 nt
Filed under: uncultured bacterium
Lineage: Bacteria
Description: bacterial SSU rRNA
Rfam family: Bacterial small subunit ribosomal RNA
Source: RNAcentral
GGGCCUGCACAAGCGGUGGAGUAUGUGGCUUAAUUCGAUGCAACGCGAAGAACCUUACCUGGCCUUGACAUGUAGUGGCCCGGGUGCGAAAUCACCCUUUUCUUCGGAACUGCUACACAGGUGCUGCAUGGCUGUCGUCAGCUCGUGUCGUGAGAUGUUGGUUAAGUCCCGCAACGAGCGCAACCCCCGUGUUCUGUUGCCACCCGGAUGAGAAUCCGGAGCACUCUGGACAGACUGCCUGGUUUCAACCAGGAGGAAGGUGGGGAUGACGUCAAGUCAGUAUGGCCCUUACGGCCAGGGCUGCACACGUACUACAAUGCCCGGUACAAUGGGAAGCGAGACCGCGAGGUGGGAGCA